CACUGGUGGCGACCGGCGCACGGGUGAGUAACACGUGUGCAACCAACCCCGUACCGGGAGAUAACCCGCGGAAACGUGGACUAACAUCCCAUAACACUGUAUCAUCGCAUGGUGAUGCAUUUAAAAUUCCGGUGGUACGGGACGGGCACGCGCGACAUUAGGUAGUUGGCGGGGUAACGGCCCACCAAGCCGACGAUGUCUAGGGGUUCUGAGAGGAAGGUCCCCCACACUGGAACUGAGACACGGUCCAG
RNAcentral lists this ribosomal RNA (251 nucleotides) under uncultured bacterium. RNAcentral's name for it is "partial 16S ribosomal RNA". It matches the Rfam family "Bacterial small subunit ribosomal RNA", at positions 83 to 334 of the family's 1533-position model. The record is from RNAcentral.